Non-coding RNA from Bos taurus (domestic cattle), 72 nucleotides. The record is from Rfam. Lineage: Eukaryota; Metazoa; Chordata; Mammalia; Artiodactyla; Bovidae.
UCCCUGGUAGCUCAGAUGGUAAAGAAUCUGCCUGCAGUGCAGGAGACCCAGGUUCGAUCCCUGGGUUGGGAA